This 429-nucleotide ribosomal RNA is filed under the name Acidobacteriota bacterium. RNAcentral's name for it is "Acidobacteria bacterium partial 16S ribosomal RNA". It matches the Rfam family "Bacterial small subunit ribosomal RNA", at positions 355 to 776 of the family's 1533-position model. The record is from RNAcentral. Lineage: Bacteria; Pseudomonadati; Acidobacteriota.
UGGGGAAUUUUGGACAAUGGGGGAAACCCUGAUCCAGCCAUCCCGCGUGUGCGAUGAAGGCCUCCGGGUUGUAAAGCACUUUUUGCAGGAAAGAAACGUCAUGGGUUAAUACCCCGUGAAACUGACGGUACCUGCAGAAUAAGCACCGGCUAACUACGUGCCAGCAGCCGCGGUAAUACGUAGGGUGCAAGCGUUACUCGGAAUUACUGGGAGUAAAGCGUGCGCAGGCGGUUCGGAAAGAAAGAUGUGAAAUCCCAGAGCUCAACUUUGGAACAGCAUUAUUAACUAUCAGGAUAGAGUGUGUCAGAGGGGGGGGGAAUGCCGCGUGUAGCAGUGAGAGGAGUAGAUAUGCGGAGGAACACAGAGGACGAAGGGAGCCUCCUGGGAUAACACUGACGAUCAUGCACGAAAGCGUGGGGAGCAAACAGG